Molecule: transfer RNA, 113 nt
Filed under: Mesorhizobium sangaii
Lineage: Bacteria; Pseudomonadati; Pseudomonadota; Alphaproteobacteria; Hyphomicrobiales; Phyllobacteriaceae
Description: tRNA-Gly
Source: RNAcentral
GCGAGAUAUAUGCUCGAAAAGAGCAAUGUUUUACAGCUAUGACCUUGUUUAAUCACUAAUGCGUCCAGCUUCCCAAGCUGAACGCGCGGGUUCGAUUCCCGCUACCCGCUCCA